Molecule: long non-coding RNA, 553 nt
Filed under: Cyanistes caeruleus (blue tit)
Lineage: Eukaryota; Metazoa; Chordata; Aves; Passeriformes; Paridae
Description: lncRNA (ENSCCEG00000019487.1)
Source: RNAcentral
GGAGCCUGUUGCAUCAAGGCCUGGGGUGGCAGGUGCUUUCCCAGGGGCUGUCUGCUAUGUGCCUGUGCCAGCCCCUUGUCCUGCUGGGCUCUGCCCAGGGAGCAGGGCAGCCCAGGUCUCCCAAAACUCUGCCCUGCAGGCUUCACACAUACCCAGCCGCCAUGUCUGCAUUCCACAUUAUUAGCAGGAUUGUGCUCAGGACUGCGGGAGGCAGCGGUUCUUGUCCAAGAGGGUGUUAUGGAUUUGCGGCAGGGGACCUGUGGCAGUUGGUACUUGAUGAUGAUUACUGCAUCCAAAGAUGCACAAAUGGUAGCUGCCUAUUCCCAGAGUUGGGUGUCACCCCGAGCAGCCCAUCUGCUUUGAUGAUGCUUUAAGGACAACACCGUCAAACCCAUACUGGCAGUUUCCAGUCUCCCCCAAUUAAACCAGCACUUUUACUGUGAGACGUGUCCUGCUUAAGGGAUGAGGGUUUUUCCUAUUUGAUUCAUGUAAUUUCAUUUUGGCUUUGAAUUUUUAAACAAGUGUAAUAAAUUGUGACAAAGUGUGGUGUUCA